Long non-coding RNA from Syngnathus typhle (broad-nosed pipefish), 2111 nucleotides. RefSeq lists it as uncharacterized. Lineage: Eukaryota; Metazoa; Chordata; Actinopteri; Syngnathiformes; Syngnathidae. The transcript is spliced from 4 exons. The record is from RefSeq and is a predicted model, not a curated record.
AUUGUCAUGUUCGAGCCCAUGCCCCGAGAACGUAAUUGUGUGAGGAUAUUGUUGCGGAGUGACGAGUGUAAUUGUAUCAUAGUUUAUGGAGAAAAACAAUUUAAAAGGGACGUUCAACGCGCUGUCAAAUCAGUCAUAUUUAAACUUGCGCAACGACGUCGGCAUGUGGUCGCGGAGGAAAACGAUCAAAGAGAAAUUAAGGUCCUCACAUGGCGCGAAACCAACUUUUUCCAUGUCAAACUUGGACAUUGGCUGUCCAUGACACACAUGACAACAUCAUCUUCUAGUGGCGUGGAGCUCCACUCCACAGAAAAUACUGUAAUAAAGGAACUGGAAGAAGAGCCCUUUCGCUUUGUGGCCUUUAAAAUCAAAGGUGAACAGGUGGAGUUUGUGGACGCCACCAAUGCCACCAGAAUGGUUCCAUUAGAGGAGUGGAACCGAAAAUUCCCCGAUGGCCCUAAUCUUCCCCUAGAGGGGUUUUUGUGAGACUACCCUCAGAGGCCGGCCUCAGAGGCCGGCCUCUUUGACCUGCGACCAGAGAUGCUGGCGUGGCUCCACGACACCAAGUUGGAACUCUGACGUUACACGUGAGAGAGAGAGAGAGCGAGAGAGAGAGAGAGAGGCAACGUCAGGUGACCCAGUUUAUUAUUUUGUUUAUAGCAAAUACAGUCGCAAAUAUAUUGUUUCAAUGUGUAGUUAAUGGUAUUAAUGUAUUGUAUAGUAUAUGAUUUUAAUCUAUUUUAAUCUAUAGUAAUGGUAUUUUACCCAUGUCUUACUUUGGGAUAUUUGUAACUUCUGCUGUCUUUAUUUUAGUAUUCUGGAAUACUAUGGUUUAUUUUGAAAAUGUUGCUCAGAUGUCGCAUGUAUUCCCAUUCUAGAUUGAUAGAUAGAAUUUACGGUAGCGUUCUUUGGCCCGCUGUCCAAAGAACAUAGAAAACAAUACGGAAUGCGAUCAUCUCAUGUGCGGUGGCACCACAAAGUAGAUUGCAGAAGUUAACUCAGCAGCAUGGACGCGUUCCAGGCAGUUACUGCGACCGCAAGGGGGUAAGUAUUACUAAAAAGAAGCACACAAGUUUCAAACUUGCCGAGUGGACAGUGAAGCAGAAAAUAGAUUUGUCAAAAAGUGUGAGGAAAAUAUGCACUGUCUGCCGACUCACAUUUUCCAUAGUCCAUGUGGAACUGACUCACCUUAAGCAACACGGUGGACACGAACGAAAAAACGCACAACUAAGCAAGGGGGAACCUGGACAGAUCCAUCAGGCAACGACAAAGAUGGUACGUAAAUAUUUUUUUAAACCCUCUCAAGGUUAAUAUGAGAAUGUACAAUGGAUGUCUAUCGUAUAGAAAAAGCUAUAUUUGCUUUUGGGUGUAAUAAACGACCAGGUAAAUGGAUAGAUAAUACAUAAAAACCAUUCGUUUGCAUACAUUGAUAAAUAAAAGAUCAACAUUAUGUGGCACUUGCCUCCCCAGAACUUUUGGUUUAUAGGAAGGUUUGUUUUCUAUUUAGAGGAAGAAACGCAUGCGCCCAAGUGCAAUAUGUAUUUUUGCCAGUAGAGGGCGCUGAAACUAAAUAUGUUGCAUAGCGGAUGAGCUGUCUUAAUCAUUUCUGUCUGUAACAAUUGCACACACAGCCUUACAUUUGUAACAAGUUUCAAGAGAUGUGCAUACUUUUUCAUUAGACAUGCAAUGUAAUUCUGUCAACUUUUAAAUAAACUAUGUUAUUUUACUUUUAAUGUGGAUAGAGGAUUUAUUUUUGGUGUUUUUGAUUUUACUGCAGAUUAUCCAGACAUCCCCAACGUCAAAGCAGCAGUAUCUUUGGCCUCAGCAUCCUUAUUUUCCAAUGGGAUUUGUGGACAGGAAUGUCUUUUUCGACAUGUUCCAACUUUAAACUGUUCAUCUCAUGCUUAAUAACUGUCGCUCAGCACUGACACCUGGUGGACGUUAUGUUGUCAUGCAGAUGUUAUUAUGCCUAAUAAGAACAGAUUCAGAUUUGAUUCUUAGUAGUUACCUUGCUGACUGUUUCUUGUUGACUAAUACUUCUUGCGUAUGUACUGUUUUUACUCGCUUAUUGGUUUUCUUGCUUACUGCUUUUUCUAAAAUGUACAUAUUCA